Meriones unguiculatus (Mongolian gerbil) is the source of this 107-nucleotide small nuclear RNA. Lineage: Eukaryota; Metazoa; Chordata; Mammalia; Rodentia; Muridae. The record is from Ensembl.
GUGCUUGCUUUGGCAUCACAUUUAAUAAAAUUAGAGCUACACAGAGAGUAUUAGCGUGGCCCCUCCACUAGGAUGACACACAAAUACAUGAGACAUUGGUAUUUUGU